GAUGAAUGCUGGCGGCGUGCCUAACACAUGCAAGUCGAGCGGUAACAGGAAUAAUUUAUUAUUUGCUGACGAGCGGCGGACGGCUGAGUAACGCGUGGGAACAUGCCCCAAAGUGAGGGAUAAGCUCCAGAAAUGGAGUCUAAUACCGCAUAUGAUCUUCGGAUUAAAGGAUUUAUCCGCUUUGGGAGUGGCCUGCGUACGAUUAGAUAGUUGGUGAGGUAAUGGCUUACCAAGUCUACGAUCGUUAGCUGGUCUGAGAGGAUGACCAGCCAGACUGGAACUGAGACACGGUCCAGACUCCUACGGGAGGCAGCAGUGAGGAAUCUUCCACAAUGGGCGAAAGCCUGAUGGNAGCACGCCGCGUGCANGAUGAANGCCCUCGGGUCGUAAACUGCUUUUAUAAGUGAAGAAUAUGACNGGUACUUAUGAAAUAGCACCGGCUAACUACGUGCCAGCAGCCGCGGUCAUACGUNAGGUGCAAGCAUUAUCCGGAGUGACUGGGCGUAAAGAGUUGCGUAGGUGGACAGUAAGCGAAUAGUGAAAUCCGACGGCUCAACCGUACGGACUAUUACUCGAACUGCUUGUCUCGAGAAUGGUAGAGGUAACUGGAAUUUCUAGUGUAGGAGUGAAAUCCGUAGAUAUUAGAAGGAACACCAAUGGCGUAGGCAGGUUACUGGACCAUUUCUGACACUGAGGCACGAAAGCGUGGGGAGCGAACCGGAUUAGAUACCCGGGUAGUCCACGCCGUAAACUAUGGAUACUAGCUGUUGGGGGUAUCGACCCCCCCAGUAGCGAAGCUAACGCGUUAGGUAUCCCGCCUGUGGAGUACGGUCGCAAGACUAAAACAUAAAGGAAUUGACGGGGAGCCGCACAAGCGGUGGAUUAUGUUCUUUAAUUCGAUGAUAACCGAAGAACCUUACCAGGGAUUGACAUCCCAAGAAUUUUGUCGAAAGACGAGAGUGCUUUAUUGAACUUGGUGACAGGUGAUGCAUGGCCGUCGUCAGCUCGUGUCGUGAGAUGUUUGGUUAAGUCCAUCAACGAGCGCAACCCUUGUGAAUAGUUGUAUUUUUCUAUUCAGACUGCCCCGGCAACGGGGAGGAAGGAGGGGAUGAUGUCAGGUCAGUAUUUCCCUUACGCCCUGGGCUAGAAACGUAAUACAAUGGCCAGUACAAUGCGCAGCGAAGCCGCGAGGUGAAGCAAAUCGCAUCAAAACUGGUCCCAGUUCGGAUUGGAGGCUGAAACUCGCCUCCAUGAAGUUGGAAUCGCUAGUAAUCGCAGAUCAGCAAGCUGCGGUGAAUACGUUCCCGGCUCU
Molecule: ribosomal RNA, 1312 nt
Filed under: uncultured bacterium
Lineage: Bacteria
Description: bacterial SSU rRNA
Rfam family: Bacterial small subunit ribosomal RNA
Source: RNAcentral